AGUGAACGCUGGCGGUAGGCCUAACACAUGCCAGUCGAACGGCAGCACAGUAAGAGCUUGCUCUUACGGGUGGCGAGUGGCGGACGGGUGAGGAAUACAUCGGAAUCUACUUUUUCGUGGGGGAUAACGUAGGGAAACUUACGCUAAUACCGCAUACGACCUACGGGUGAAAGCAGGGGAUCUUCGGACCUUGCGCGAUUGAAUGAGCCGAUGUCGGAUUAGCUAGUUGGCGGGGUAAAGGCCCACCAAGGCGACGAUCCGUAGCUGGUCUGAGAGGAUGACCGCCCACAUGGAAAAGGAAACGCGGCCCAGCCCCCAAGGGGGGGGGCAAGGGGGAAAUGUGGGACAAGGGCCGAAGGCUGGACCAACCCAUCCCGGGGGGUGAAAAAGGGCUUUGGGUUGUAAAGCCCUUUUGUUGGGAAAAAAAAAGCAGCAGUUUAAUCCCCGGUUGUCCGGAGGGAACCAAAGAAAAAGGCCCCGGCAACCUUCGUC
RNAcentral lists this ribosomal RNA (492 nucleotides) under uncultured bacterium. RNAcentral describes it as "partial 16S ribosomal RNA". It matches the Rfam family "Bacterial small subunit ribosomal RNA", at positions 29 to 507 of the family's 1533-position model. The record is from RNAcentral.